This 1473-nucleotide ribosomal RNA is filed under the name Lacticaseibacillus rhamnosus. RNAcentral describes it as "bacterial SSU rRNA". It matches the Rfam family "Bacterial small subunit ribosomal RNA". The record is from RNAcentral. Lineage: Bacteria; Bacillati; Bacillota; Bacilli; Lactobacillales; Lactobacillaceae.
GCAGUCGACGAGUUCUGAUUAUUGAAAGGUGCUUGCAUCUUGAUUUAAUUUUGAACGAGUGGCGGACGGGUGAGUAACACGUGGGUAACCUGCCCUUAAGUGGGGGAUAACAUUUGGAAACAGAUGCUAAUACCGCAUAAAUCCAAGAACCGCAUGGUUCUUGGCUGAAAGAUGGCGUAAGCUAUCGCUUUUGGAUGGACCCGCGGCGUAUUAGCUAGUUGGUGAGGUAACGGCUCACCAAGGCAAUGAUACGUAGCCGAACUGAGAGGUUGAUCGGCCACAUUGGGACUGAGACACGGCCCAAACUCCUACGGGAGGCAGCAGUAGGGAAUCUUCCACAAUGGACGCAAGUCUGAUGGAGCAACGCCGCGUGAGUGAAGAAGGCUUUCGGGUCGUAAAACUCUGUUGUUGGAGAAGAAUGGUCGGCAGAGUAACUGUUGUCGGCGUGACGGUAUCCAACCAGAAAGCCACGGCUAACUACGUGCCAGCAGCCGCGGUAAUACGUAGGUGGCAAGCGUUAUCCGGAUUUAUUGGGCGUAAAGCGAGCGCAGGCGGUUUUUUAAGUCUGAUGUGAAAGCCCUCGGCUUAACCGAGGAAGUGCAUCGGAAACUGGAAAACUUGAGUGCAGAAGAGGACAGUGGAACUCCAUGUGUAGCGGUGAAAUGCGUAGAUAUAUGGAAGAACACCAGUGGCGAAGGCGGCUGUCUGGUCUGUAACUGACGCUGAGGCUCGAAAGCAUGGGUAGCGAACAGGAUUAGAUACCCUGGUAGUCCAUGCCGUAAACGAUGAAUGCUAGGUGUUGGAGGGUUUCCGCCCUUCAGUGCCGCAGCUAACGCAUUAAGCAUUCCGCCUGGGGAGUACGACCGCAAGGUUGAAACUCAAAGGAAUUGACGGGGGCCCGCACAAGCGGUGGAGCAUGUGGUUUAAUUCGAAGCAACGCGAAGAACCUUACCAGGUCUUGACAUCUUUUGAUCACCUGAGAGAUCAGGUUUCCCCUUCGGGGGCAAAAUGACAGGUGGUGCAUGGUUGUCGUCAGCUCGUGUCGUGAGAUGUUGGGUUAAGUCCCGCAACGAGCGCAACCCUUAUGACUAGUUGCCAGCAUUUAGUUGGGCACUCUAGUAAGACUGCCGGUGACAAACCGGAGGAAGGUGGGGAUGACGUCAAAUCAUCAUGCCCCUUAUGACCUGGGCUACACACGUGCUACAAUGGAUGGUACAACGAGUUGCGAGACCGCGAGGUCAAGCUAAUCUCUUAAAGCCAUUCUCAGUUCGGACUGUAGGCUGCAACUCGCCUACACGAAGUCGGAAUCGCUAGUAAUCGCGGAUCAGCACGCCGCGGUGAAUACGUUCCCGGGCCUUGUACACACCGCCCGUCACACCAUGAGAGUUUGUAACACCCGAAGCCGGUGGCGUAACCCUUUUAGGGAGCGAGCCGUCUAAGGUGGGACAAAUGAUUAGGGUGAAGUCGUAACAG